Small RNA from Shigella dysenteriae Sd197, 71 nucleotides. It matches the Rfam family "Nucleoid-associated noncoding RNA 4 (CssrE)". Rfam says of the family: In E. coli small RNA transcribed from repeated extragenic palindromic element (REP325) called nucleoid-associated ncRNA 4 (nRNA4) collaborates HU protein in condensing the DNA. The secondary structure but not the sequence of the RNA is important in nucleoid condensation. Also identified in Shigella as CssrE. The record is from Rfam. NCBI's taxonomy places the organism in Bacteria, Pseudomonadati, Pseudomonadota, Gammaproteobacteria, Enterobacterales, Enterobacteriaceae.
GGCCGGAUAAGGCGUUCACGCCGCAUCCGGCACUGGUUGCCUGAUGCGACGCUUGCGCGUCUUAUCAGGCC